This 423-nucleotide long non-coding RNA is filed under the name Sorghum bicolor (sorghum). Its description in RNAcentral is "long non-coding RNA (SBIC_LNC011808)". Lineage: Eukaryota; Viridiplantae; Streptophyta; Magnoliopsida; Poales; Poaceae. The record is from RNAcentral.
UAACCACUUAUAUAUAUUUUUUCUCUCUCGUAUAUUUGCAUUAAUUAGGAACACUUUUCUACUCUCUAUUCUUUCCUAUACCCUUCCACCUAUAGAAGACGGCACGGGGAAGAGCGAUGCACGAGACAAAGGUUGUGCGUAUUUUUACGCACGAUGUCGACCUAUUUGUCAAUUGCCAAUAAUGGAGAAGGGACAUGGGAUACUUUUGGAGAUGAGUUUUUUUUUCUUUUUUUUUCCAAAACGACAUGGACGAGGAAGGAAUAUGGGGUACUUUUGGAGAUGCUUGCAUGCAGCCACAUGAAUCUAUGGCCUUGUUUAGUUCAUGAAAAGAAAAAAAAAUUGUGGGUGUCGCAUCGAAUUUGCCGGCACACGUUUGAAGUAUUAAACGUAGACUAAUCAAAUAACAAAUUACAUAACUUACCU